This 307-nucleotide small RNA is filed under the name uncultured bacterium. Its description in RNAcentral is "bacterial SSU rRNA". It matches the Rfam family "Bacterial small subunit ribosomal RNA", at positions 68 to 347 of the family's 1533-position model. The record is from RNAcentral.
AUCAAUAGAAGCUUGCUUCUAUUGAUUAGCGGCGGACGGGUGAGUAACACGUGGGCAACCUGCCUGACAGACUGGGAUAACUUGGGGAAACUCAAGCUAAUACCGGAUAGGAUCGCGAACCGCAUGGAGAGCGAUGGAAAGUCUGAACGACACUGUCAGAUGGGCCCGCGGCGCAUUAGCUAGUUGGUGAGGUAACGGCUCACCAAUUUUUUCUUGCGUAGCCNAGCUAAGAGGGUGACCGGCCACACUGGAACUGAGACACGGUCCAUACCUCCUCUGAGGCGACUGGGGACUCNUACNGGAUCAG